CCUACGGGAGGCAGCAGUGGGGAAUAUUGCACAAUGGGGGAAACCCUGAUGCAGCGACGCCGCGUGAGUGAAGAAGUAUCUCGGUACGUAACGCCCUAUCAGCAGGGAAGAAAAUGACCGUACCCGACUAAAAAGCCCCGGCUAAAUACGUGCCCGCAGCCGCGGUAAUACGUAGGGGGCAAGCGUUAUUCGGAUUUAAUGGGUGUAAAGGGAGCGUAGACGGCAGCACAAGUCUGGAGUGAAAUCCCGGGGCUGAACCCCGGAACUGCUUUGGAAACUGUGCGGCUGGAGUGCCGGAGGGGUAAGCGGAAUUCCUAGUGUAGCGGUGAAAUGCGUAGAUAUUAGGAGGAACACCAGUGGCGAAGGCGGCUUACUGGACUGUAACUGACGUUGAGGCUCGAAAGCGUGGGGAGCAAACAGGAUUAGAUACCCCUGUAGUC
RNAcentral lists this ribosomal RNA (440 nucleotides) under uncultured bacterium. RNAcentral's name for it is "partial 16S ribosomal RNA". It matches the Rfam family "Bacterial small subunit ribosomal RNA", at positions 338 to 795 of the family's 1533-position model. The record is from RNAcentral.